CUGAGCACCACCCAAGCAGACAAUCUGGCCCUGGGAGAGAAGCUGCAAAACCUGCCCAGCUGCCUGUAUGAGAAGCUGAAGGAGGAAAUGCAGGCCUGGCAGGAAGAAGUGAAGGACACUCAGGAGGAAGCCCUGGCUGGGCAGCCCCCCAGCUGCCAGAGGGCAGUGCCACUCCUUCUGCCACCUGACCUUCCCCAAGUACAUGGAAACCAGUCAGCCCUGCCCAGGCCUCAGUCCAGGGACCUGACACCUCCUCUGGAAACCACCCUAUCAGCCUAACAAUAAACUUCCCAGCUAAGCUGCAGUUCCA
Long non-coding RNA from Heterocephalus glaber (naked mole-rat), 310 nucleotides. The record is from Ensembl. NCBI's taxonomy places the organism in Eukaryota, Metazoa, Chordata, Mammalia, Rodentia, Bathyergidae.